RNAcentral lists this long non-coding RNA (2181 nucleotides) under Anser cygnoides (Swan goose). RNAcentral's name for it is "lncRNA (ENSACDG00005004122.1)". The record is from RNAcentral. Lineage: Eukaryota; Metazoa; Chordata; Aves; Anseriformes; Anatidae.
AUGGCAGGGGAUGAGCUGGGGGGGCACCUCCACACGUGGGCCCCGCGGCCCCUCCCAGGCACGGAAGGCGACGACGGGCACGGAGCACCCCCGGGGACUGCCGGCAGCGUUGCCACACGCGUGUGCAGGGAUGUGAGCGUCCCCCUGCCAGGCACACGUGUCUCCCAGCUGCGUGCCUUGCAGGAAGGUGCUCCCCACGCUGAACUGAGCUGUGCGCUGCUGGUCCUCGUGGGGACGCGCUGUCCCUGCGGGCUGUCCCUGCGGGGUGGCACGUGGGCAGCGCGCUUGGGGCUGGUCCUGCCCGUGCCCCUUCCCCUGGGGCAGAGAUGGGAACUGGGGGGCUGCGGGUUCCCACAGCAGUCCCGGGCUCUCCGGCUUCCCCCAGGUUUCAACCCCUCGUGCUUGGUUUUGCAGCUGCUGCGGGGGCUCCUGUUCCAUGCCGGCUGUACAGCCGCAUGCCAGCGUUUUAUCCGGAUUUGUUCUGAAGCCCCAUCGCUCAGGUUCCCAGGGCUCAGUGCUGCUGUCCCGAGGCCCCGGCUCUGCCUCUGGAGCCGACGCAGGUCCUUGCCUUUGGUGGAGAAAAGGGGACUGGCUGGGCCAGGGGGUUCCCUGGGUGCUUGGUGCGAGGUUUCCCGGGAGAGCGCAGAAGUCCUGAGAGCGGGGCCAUGGGCAGAGCACGGACAAGAGGCAGAUGUCCCCGGGGGGCCCUGUAGUGGGGUUAAGCCAUGUCCUGGGGGGGACAGCGGGGUCCUUUCCUCAGCCUGUUCCCCACGCCUUGGUCCUGCCCUGCACGUGCAGCCUGAGCUCUGGACCCUGCGGGGCUGUUCCUGCACCGAGCAGCCCAGCGGCUGCUGCCCCCCAGCUGGGGAGCCCCAGGACGCAGCAGCUCCUGGUCCCUGCUUCGCCCCGCGAGGAUUUCUGAGCCUGGCUGCUGCCCCUCCGGUGGUGGCUCUCCUCUGGCUUCGAGCCCUGCAGGGGCAGCAGCCUCGGGCUCCCAGGAUUUCAGCUUUCACUGCGGGCAUCCAGCAACGCACGAUGCAUCCCACUGCAUCACCAGCGGUGCUGGGGAGGCGAGGCAGGAGCAGCUUGGCGGGGUCUCACGGCGCGCAUCCACCCUGCCCCACGCGGGGCACUAGGCUUGGUUUACAGCACGGCCAGAGAAGUCCUUGGGGGGCUAAGAGGGGGUCAGGAGAAGCCAGGACCCAGCUGGUGGGGCAUCAGCCGCUGGAUCAGCCGUGCCUGUCAGCUCCUGGUGCUGGGCUUCCCCCAGACUCGUGCACGGUCCUGCUGGCACUGGGGACAGCUGUGUCCCCAUCGCCCUGGACAGCCUGGAGCAGUGGUAUAGGGGAGAGGGAGGCUCAACCUGUGCUACCCCUCUCCCAGUGGCAGGACGCACCGGGGAGCCAGAGCCCAGCCAGCCUGCUCUCAGAGAGCUGGGAAAAAAAAAAAAGCGUGAGUAAUUUAACGCCCCAUUUACCAGCAGCUCCUCAUGCCCGGCCUGGCCAGCAGCCUCAGGCUGAGAUGAGCGGCGCCCUACAAAUGGCAGUGGGGUGGCUGCGGGUGUCGCUUUGGCACCCAGCCGCUGCCACCUCCAAGCCCGGCAGCUCCCACACCCUUUCCUUCUCCGUGACCCUGUGCAGCCCCCCCAGACCCUGUGCAGCCCCUCCAGACCCUAUCCAGCCCCCCUGCUCGCCCUGCCUCGGUCCCUUUGGGUGCUGCUGGCCCCAUGUCCCCCCUGCAGGUGGCUGUCCAGCUCCUCCAGAGCCCCCUCUCCUCCGGCAGCGCGGCUGGAGGUGCUGGGACGCGGUGGCCGGAGGGGACAGGACACGUCCCCACGGCCGCAGCGAGGUCCCCAUCAGCUCCAGGACCCCGGGGGAAGGAGACCAAGCGGGGGUGCUCGCUGCGGGCUCGCUUCCCGGGACAGGAGGUUUGCAAAUCUGCGCGGGGCAUCGCAGUCGCAGCUUGGCUGGGGGUGAGCACACGUCCUGGCUGCAUCCGUGCUGGGGAAGGAGCCCCCUCCCCACUGCCAGGCGCCCCCCAGCUGGAUCCCAGCGGGCUCCCGGCACCCUCACAGCAUUUUGGCUGCCCCACAUCUCUGGCUGCCCAACCAGCCCCUGCAGACGCGGACCGACACCAGGCAAAUGGAUCCCACUGGUGGCGGCGUCCUGCACCGUACACUGA